UAGAUACUCCCUUCGUCCGGAAAUACUUGUCGGAGAAAUGGAUGAAUAUAGACGUAUUUUAGUUAUAGAUACAUUCAAUUUUAUUUAUUUCUCCGACAAAUAUUUCGGGAUAGAGGGAGUACCAC
Molecule: non-coding RNA, 125 nt
Organism: Triticum aestivum (bread wheat)
Lineage: Eukaryota; Viridiplantae; Streptophyta; Magnoliopsida; Poales; Poaceae
Source: Rfam